GUUGCAUUGUUGUUUUUUGUGUCUUUAUCGAUACGGGUACAUGUAUCUGACGUUCAGUAAUUGUCGUUUGUUGAUGUAGUUUCUCGUUUUAAAAAAAAUAAGACCGUUGGUUUUCCCGUUUGAAUGGUUUUACAAAAGUUUAUUUCGGCGCCCUUUAUAACUUACUGUUCGAUGUGAGCCCAGGCUCCGUGUUGAAGACCGUACUUUGGCCUAUAAUGGUUU
Molecule: long non-coding RNA, 222 nt
Filed under: Mytilus galloprovincialis (Mediterranean mussel)
Lineage: Eukaryota; Metazoa; Mollusca; Bivalvia; Mytilida; Mytilidae
Source: RNAcentral